AGCGAACGCUGGCGGCGUGCCUAACACAUGCAAGUCGAACGUGAAAAGGGAAACCUGAGUACAGUGGCGUACGGGUGAGUAACGCGUAGGUAAUCUACCCCAGAAUCUGGAAUAACCUGCCGAAAGGCGGGCUAAUACUGGAUAGAGCGAGGGAACUCGUAAGAGAGUUUUUCGGGAAAGGGAGCCCGCAAGGGCCUUCGUUCUGGGAUGAGCCUGCGUCUCAUUAGCUAGUUGGUAAGGUAACGGCUCACCAAGGCGAUGAUGAGUAGCUGGUCUGAGAGGAUGAUCAGCCACACUGGAACUGAAACACGGUCCAGACUCCUACGGGAGGCAGCAGUGGGGAAUCUUGCGCAAUGGACGAAAGUCUGACGCAGCCACGCCGCGUGAGUGAAGAAGGCCGUCGGGUUGUAAAGCUCUGUCGGAUGGGACGAACAUCUUCAUAGUGAAUAGCUAUGAGGACUGACGGUACCAUCAAAGGAAGCACCGGCUAACUCCGUG
RNAcentral lists this ribosomal RNA (498 nucleotides) under uncultured bacterium. Its description in RNAcentral is "partial 16S ribosomal RNA". It matches the Rfam family "Bacterial small subunit ribosomal RNA", at positions 29 to 507 of the family's 1533-position model. The record is from RNAcentral.